RNAcentral lists this long non-coding RNA (207 nucleotides) under Elaeis guineensis (African oil palm). RNAcentral's name for it is "long non-coding RNA (EGUI_LNC003211)". Lineage: Eukaryota; Viridiplantae; Streptophyta; Magnoliopsida; Arecales; Arecaceae. The record is from RNAcentral.
GAUUAUCCUUGAGGUAUGUCUAUACUUCUUAUACUUUUAGAUUUAAUUUUAGAUUUUAAAUAUCAGAUAAUAAAAUUAGAUCUAACAGACAUUAGAUCUGAAAUAGCGUAGGAUAAAAAUUUUAAAUUAUUCCAUCCUAGAUUUGAUAAAAUCUGGAAGAUCCUACAAAGAAAAAAGACAAUUUUUCCUUCAGGUGGAUCAGGCACG